ACGGAGGGUGCAAGCGUUAUUCGGAAUUACUGGGCGUAAAGGGCGUGCAGGCGGGGGAGCAAGUCUGAUGUGGAAGCCCGGGGCUUAACCCCGGAACGGCAUUGGAAACUGCUUUUCUUGAGUUUUGGAGAGGCAGGGAGAAUUCCCGGUGUAGAGGUGAAAUGCGUAGAGAUCAGGAGGAACAGCAGUGGCGAAGGCGGCCCUCUGGACAGCAACUGACGCUAAGACGCGAAAGCGUGGGGAGCAAACAG
RNAcentral lists this ribosomal RNA (251 nucleotides) under uncultured prokaryote. RNAcentral describes it as "partial 16S rRNA". It matches the Rfam family "Bacterial small subunit ribosomal RNA", at positions 525 to 775 of the family's 1533-position model. The record is from RNAcentral.